UAAGCAUAUCAAUAAGCGGAGGAAAAGAAACCAACGGGAAUGGCCCUAGUAACGGCGAGUGAAGCGGCAACAGCUCAAAUUUGAAAUCUGGCUCUUUUAGGGUCCGAGUUGUAAUUUGCAGAGGGCGCUUUGGCUUUGGCAGCGGUCCAAGUUCCUUGGAACAGGACGUCACAGAGGGUGAGAAUCCCGUACGUGGUCGCUAGCUAUCGCCGUGUAAAGCCCCUUCGACGAGUCGAGUUGUUUGGGAAUGCAGCUCUAAAUGGGAGGUAAAUUUCUUCUAAAGCUAAAUAUUGGCCAGAGACCGAUAGCGCACAAGUAGAGUGAUCGAAAGAUGAAAAGCACUUUGGAAAGAGAGUCAAACAGCACGUGAAAUUGUUGAAAGGGAAGCGCUUGCAGCCAGACUUGCUUGCAGUUGCUCAUCCGGGCUUUUGCCCGGUGCACUCUUCUGUAGGCAGGCCAGCAUCAGUUUGGGCGGUGGGAUAAAGGUCUCUGUCACGUACCUCUCUUCGGGGAGGCCUUAUAGGGGAGACGACAUACCACCAGCCUAGACUGAGGUCCGCGCAUCUGCUAGGAUGCUGGCGUAAUGGCUGUAAGCGGCCCGUCUUGAAACACGGACCAAGGAGUCUAACAUCUAUGCGAGUGUUUGGGUGUCAAGCCCGAGCGCGUAAUGAAAGUGAACGGAGGUGGGAACCCGCAAGGGUGCACCAUCGACCGAUCCUGAAGUUUUCGGAAGGAUUUGAGUAAGAGCAUGGCUGUUGGGACCCGAAAGAUGGUGAACUAUGCUUGAAUAGGGUGAAGCCAGAGGAAACUCUGGUGGAGGCUCGCAGCGGUUCUGACGUGCAAAUCGAUCGUCAAAUUUGGGCAUAGGGGCGAAAGACUAAUCGAACUAUCUAGUAGCUGGUUCCUGCCAA
This 911-nucleotide ribosomal RNA is filed under the name Stemphylium vesicarium. RNAcentral's name for it is "LSU rRNA". It matches the Rfam family "Eukaryotic large subunit ribosomal RNA", at positions 35 to 964 of the family's 3401-position model. The record is from RNAcentral. Lineage: Eukaryota; Fungi; Ascomycota; Dothideomycetes; Pleosporales; Pleosporaceae.